RNAcentral lists this ribosomal RNA (446 nucleotides) under uncultured bacterium. RNAcentral's name for it is "partial 16S ribosomal RNA". It matches the Rfam family "Bacterial small subunit ribosomal RNA", at positions 338 to 795 of the family's 1533-position model. The record is from RNAcentral.
CCUACGUGAUGCAGCAGUCGAGAAUCAUUCACAAUGGGGGAAACCCUGAUGGUGCGACGCCGCGUGGGGGAAUGAAGGUCUUCGGAUUGUACACCCCUGUCAUGUGGGAGCAAAUUAAAAAGAUAGUACCUCAAGCGGAAGAGACGGUUAACUCUGUGCAAGCAGCUGCGGUAAUACAGAGGUCUCAAGAGUUGUUCGGAAUCACUGGGCGGAAAGCGUGCGUAGGCGGUUGCGGAAGUCGUGUGUGAAAGGCGCGGGCUCAAACCGCUGACGGAACAUGAUACUGCGAGAGUAGAGUAAUGGAGGGGGAACCGGAAUUAGUGGUGUAGCAGUGAAAUGAGUAGAUAUCGAGAGGAACACUCGUGGCGAAGGCGGGUUCCUGGACAUUAACUGACGCUGAGGCACGAAGGCCAGGGGAGCGAAAGGGAUUAGAUACCCUUGUAGUC